UAGGGAAUCUUCGGCAAUGGACGAAAGUCUGACCGAGCAACGCCGCGUGAGUGAAGAAGGUUUUCGGAUCGUAAAACUCUGUUGGUAGAGAAGAACGUUGGUGAGAGUGGAAAGCUCAUCAAGUGACGGUAACUACCCAGAAAGGGACGGCUAACUACGUGCCAGCAGCCGCGGUAAUACGUAGGUCCCGAGCGUUGUCCGGAUUUAUUGGGCGUAAAGCGAGCGCAGGUGGUUUAUUAAGUCUGGUGUAAAAGGCAGUGGCUCAACCAUUGUAUGCAUUGGAAACUGGUAGACUUGAGUGCAGGAGAGGAGAGUGGAAUUCCAUGUGUAGCGGUGAAAUGCGUAGAUAUAUGGAGGAACACCGGUGGCGAAAAGCGGCUCUCUGGCCUGUAACUGACACUGAGGCUCGAAAGCGUGGGGAGCAAACAGGAUUAGAUACCCUGGUAGUCCACGCCGUAAAC
Molecule: ribosomal RNA, 461 nt
Filed under: uncultured bacterium
Lineage: Bacteria
Description: partial 16S ribosomal RNA
Rfam family: Bacterial small subunit ribosomal RNA
Source: RNAcentral